GGCGUGCUUAACACAUGCAAGUCGAACGAAGCACUUUACCACGAUUCCUUCGGGAUAACGGUUUAGUGACUGAGUGGCGGACGGGUGAGUAACGCGUGGGGAACCUGCCCCAUACCGGGGGAUAACAGCCGGAAACGGCUGCUAAUACCGCAUAAGCGCACAGUACCGCAUGGUACGGUGUGAAAAACUCCGGUGGUAUGGGAUGGACCCGCGUCUGAUUAGCCAGUUGGCGGGGUAACGGCCCACCAAAGCGACGAUCAGUAGCCGGCCUGAGAGGGCGACCGGCCACAUUGGGACUGAGACACGGCCCAGACUCCUACGGGAGGCAGCAGUGGGGAAUAUUGCACAAUGGGGGAAACCCUGAUGCAGCGACGCCGCGUGAGUGAGGAAGUAUUUCGGUAUGUAAAGCUCUAUCAGCAGGGAAGAAGAAAUGACGGUACCUGACUAAGAAGCCCCGGCUAACUACGUGCCAGCAGCCGCGGUAAUACGUAGGGGGCAAGCGUUAUCCGGAUUUACUGGGUGUAAAGGGAGCGCAGGCGGCAUGAUAAGUCUGAUGUGAAAACCCAAGGCUCAACCAUGGGACUGCAUUGGAAACUGUCGUGCUGGAGUGUCGGAGAGGUAAGCGGAAUUCCUAGUGUAGCGGUGAAAUGCGUAGAUAUUAGGAGGAACACCAGUGGCGAAGGCGGCUUACUGGACGAUGACUGACGCUGAGGCUCGAAAGCGUGGGGAGCAAACAGAAUUAGAUACCCUGGUAGUCCACGCCGUAAACG
RNAcentral lists this ribosomal RNA (770 nucleotides) under uncultured bacterium. RNAcentral's name for it is "bacterial SSU rRNA". It matches the Rfam family "Bacterial small subunit ribosomal RNA", at positions 41 to 808 of the family's 1533-position model. The record is from RNAcentral.